Long non-coding RNA from Xiphophorus couchianus (Monterrey platyfish), 162 nucleotides. RefSeq lists it as uncharacterized. The record is from RefSeq and is a predicted model, not a curated record. NCBI's taxonomy places the organism in Eukaryota, Metazoa, Chordata, Actinopteri, Cyprinodontiformes, Poeciliidae. The transcript is spliced from 3 exons.
AAAAAACCCUGCUUGUUUAAAUGUCUGCUAUUGUCAGCUCCCACAUGCUCAACAGAAAACUGUUCCAAAUAAAAGUGUUGGCUAUACCUUUACACAUGUCGUAUAUUAGCUGUAUUAAGCACCAAAAUAAUCAUUAUUUCUUAACACUUGCCAAAAUCCACA